GUGCGAAAGCAGGUCAUAGUGAUCCGGUGGUUCUGAAUGGAAGGGCCAUCGCUCAACGGAUAAAAGGUACUCCGGGGAUAACAGGCUGAUACCGCCCAAGAGUUCAUAUCGACGGCGGUGUUUGGCACCUCGAUGUCGGCUCAUCACAUCCUGGGGCUGAAGUAGGUCCCAAGGGUAUGGCUGUUCGCCAUUUAAAGUGGUACGCGAGCUGGGUUUAGAACGUCGUGAGACAGUUCGGUCCCUAUCUGCCGUGGGCGCUGGAGAAUUGAGGGGGCUGCUCCUAGUACGGAGAGGACCGGAGUGGACGCAUCACUGGUGUUCGGGUUGUCAUGCCAAUGGCACUGCCCGGUAGCUAAAUGCGGAAGAGAUAAGUGCUGAAAGCAUCUAAGCACGAAACUUGCCCCGAGAUGAGUUCU
Molecule: ribosomal RNA, 416 nt
Filed under: Klebsiella pneumoniae
Lineage: Bacteria; Pseudomonadati; Pseudomonadota; Gammaproteobacteria; Enterobacterales; Enterobacteriaceae
Description: bacterial LSU rRNA
Rfam family: Bacterial large subunit ribosomal RNA
Source: RNAcentral